This 73-nucleotide transfer RNA is filed under the name Stegodyphus mimosarum. It matches the Rfam family "tRNA". Rfam says of the family: Transfer RNA (tRNA) molecules are approximately 80 nucleotides in length. Their secondary structure includes four short double-helical elements and three loops (D, anti-codon, and T loops). Further hydrogen bonds mediate the characteristic L-shaped molecular structure. tRNAs have two regions of fundamental functional importance: the anti-codon, which is responsible for specific mRNA codon recognition, and the 3' end, to which the tRNAs corresponding amino acid is attached (by aminoacyl-tRNA synthetases). tRNAs cope with the degeneracy of the genetic code in two manners: having more than one tRNA (with a specific anti-codon) for a particular amino acid; and 'wobble' base-pairing, i.e. permitting non-standard base-pairing at the 3rd anti-codon position. Lineage: Eukaryota; Metazoa; Arthropoda; Arachnida; Araneae; Eresidae. The record is from Rfam by way of RNAcentral.
GCCUUCGUGGUGUAAUGGUCAGCACACUGAGCCGGUAUUUCAGAGGUCCGUGGUUCGAUUCCCGGUAAAGGAA